CUGCGCGGAAGAUGUAACGGGGCUAAACCAUGCACCGAAGCUGCGGCAGCGACACUGUGUGUUGUUGGGUAGGGGAGCGUUCUGUAAGCCUGUGAAGGUGGCCUGUGAGGGUUGCUGGAGGUAUCAGAAGUGCGAAUGCUGACAUAAGUAACGAUAAAGCGGGUGAAAAGCCCGCUCGCCGGAAGACCAAGGGUUCCUGUCCAACGUUAAUCGGGGCAGGGUGAGUCGACCCCUAAGGCGAGGCCGAAAGGCGUAGUCGAUGGGAAACGGGUUAAUAUUCCCGUACUUGGUGUUACUGCGAAGGGGGGACGGAGAAGGCUAUGUUGGCCGGGCGACGGUUGUCCCGGUUUAAGCGUGUAGGUGUGUGUUCCAGGUAAAUCCGGUUCACUUUAACACUGAGGCGUGAUGACGAGGCACUACGGUGCUGAAGCAACAAAUGCCCUGCUUCCAGGAAAAGCCUCUAAGCAUCAGGUAACAUCAAAUCGUACCCCAAACCGACACAGGUGGUCAGGUAGAGAAUACCAAGGCGCUUGAGAGAACUCGGGUGAAGGAACUAGGCAAAAUGGUGCCGUAACUUCGGGAGAAGGCACGCUGACACGUAGGUGAAGUGAUUUACUCAUGGAGCUGAAGUCAGUCGAAGAUACCAGCUGGCUGCAACUGUUUAUUAAAAACACAGCACUGUGCAAACACGAAAGUGGACGUAUACGGUGUGACGCCUGCCCGGUGCCGGAAGGUUAAUUGAUGGGGUCAGCGCAAGCGAAGCUCCUGAUCGAAGCCCCGGUAAACGGCGGCCGUAACUAUAACGGUCCUAAGGUAGCGAAAUUCCUUGUCGGGUAAGUUCCGACCUGCACGAAUGGCGUAAUGAUGGCCAGGCUGUCUCCACCCGAGACUCAGUGAAAUUGAACUCGCUGUGAAGAUGCAGUGUACCCGCGGCAAGACGGAAAGACCCCGUGAACCUUUACUAUAGCUUGACACUGAACAUUGAGCCUUGAUGUGUAG
RNAcentral lists this ribosomal RNA (999 nucleotides) under Salmonella enterica. RNAcentral's name for it is "partial 23S ribosomal RNA". It matches the Rfam family "Bacterial large subunit ribosomal RNA", at positions 1159 to 2141 of the family's 2925-position model. The record is from RNAcentral. Lineage: Bacteria; Pseudomonadati; Pseudomonadota; Gammaproteobacteria; Enterobacterales; Enterobacteriaceae.